GACGAACGCUGGCGGCGUGCCUAACACAUGCAAGUCGAACGAGAAUCUUUGAACAGAACUUUUCGGAGUGACGUUCAAAGAGGAAAGUGGCGGACGGGCGAGUAACGCGUGAGUAACCUGCCCAUAAGAGGGGGAUAAUCCAUGGAAACGUGGGCUAAUACCGCAUAUUGUAGUUAAGUUGCAUGACUUGAUUAUGAAAGAUUUAUCGCUUAUGGAUGGACUCGCGUCAGAUUAGAUAGUUGGUGAGGUAACGGCUCACCAAGUCAACGAUCUGUAGCCGAACUGAGAGGUUGAUCGGCCGCAUUGGGACUGAGACACGGCCCAGACUCCUACGGGAGGCAGCAGUGGGGAAUAUUGCGCAAUGGGGGCAACCCUGACGCAGCAACGCCGCGUGCAGGAAGAAGGUCUUCGGAUUGUAAACUGUUGUCGCAAGGGAAGAAGACAGUGACG
This 450-nucleotide ribosomal RNA is filed under the name uncultured bacterium. Its description in RNAcentral is "bacterial SSU rRNA". It matches the Rfam family "Bacterial small subunit ribosomal RNA", at positions 28 to 474 of the family's 1533-position model. The record is from RNAcentral.